CUGCCCUCAGCCCUGCGGUAAUCCAAAAGCAUCUGACAAAGGGAAGUGGGAGUCUAGACAUGUCAAGAUAUAAAUUAGUGACUCUCAAACCCAGCCCUGGGGGCCCAUCAGUUUCACAUCGCUUAGUCAUUUUACUUCAAGCAAAAGUUACAGCAAAAAUACAGGUAAUAAAGUUACUACAGUGCCAUAAACUGACUAAAAGAUAUCACAAGAGGAACCUGACAUCACCAUUAGCAGAAGAGCUUCUU
This is a long non-coding RNA of Polypterus senegalus (gray bichir), 248 nucleotides long. RefSeq lists it as uncharacterized. The transcript has 3 exons. Lineage: Eukaryota; Metazoa; Chordata; Cladistia; Polypteriformes; Polypteridae. The record is from RefSeq and is a predicted model, not a curated record.